Molecule: ribosomal RNA, 510 nt
Filed under: uncultured bacterium
Lineage: Bacteria
Description: partial 16S ribosomal RNA
Rfam family: Bacterial small subunit ribosomal RNA
Source: RNAcentral
GACGAACGCUGGCGGCGUGCUUAACACAUGCAAGUCGAACGAAGAGCGAUGGAGGCUUGCUUCUAUAAUUCUUAGGGGCAAACGGGUGGGUAACGCGUAUUCAACCUCCCCUUCAAGGGGGGACACCGGUGGGAAAGGACUCCUAAUACCGCAUACGAUCUAAUCUCGCCAUCGGGGAAAGAGGAAAGGGGGCCUCUACAUGUAAGCUAUAACUGAGGGAGGGGAUUGCGUCUGAUUAGCUAGUUGGGGGGGUAACGGCCCACCAAGGCGAUGAUCAGUAGCCGGUCUGAGAGGAUGAACGGCCACAUUGGGACUGAGACACGGCCCAGACUCCUACGGGAGGCAGCAGUGGGGAAUCUUCCGCAAUGGACGAAAGUCUGACGGAGCAACGCCGCGUGAGUGAUGACGGCCUUCGGGUUGUAAAGCUCUGUUAAUCGGGACGAAAGGCCUUCUUGCGAAUAGUGAGAAGGAUUGACGGUACCGGAAUAGAAAGCCACGGCUAACUACGUG